AUGGUCAUAUCAUGUUUAAACGCUGGUUCCUGUAUGAUCACCAAAGUUAAGCAAUAUCAAGCCUAGUCAGUAUUUAGAUGGGUGAGUGCUUGGGAAUACCAGGUUCUGCAAG
Molecule: non-coding RNA, 112 nt
Organism: Acanthosepion pharaonis
Lineage: Eukaryota; Metazoa; Mollusca; Cephalopoda; Sepiida; Sepiidae
Source: the annotation of a GenBank genome assembly